This 21-nucleotide non-coding RNA is filed under the name Caenorhabditis elegans. The record is from RNAcentral. Lineage: Eukaryota; Metazoa; Nematoda; Chromadorea; Rhabditida; Rhabditidae.
UGUAUGCUAGAGGAAUCUCAC